Molecule: ribosomal RNA, 467 nt
Filed under: uncultured bacterium
Lineage: Bacteria
Description: partial 16S ribosomal RNA
Rfam family: Bacterial small subunit ribosomal RNA
Source: RNAcentral
GAUGAACGCUGGCGGCGUGCUUAACACAUGCAAGUCGAACGGAAAGGCCCAAGCUUGCUUGGGUACUCGAGUGGCGAACGGGUGAGUAACACGUGGGUGAUCUGCCCUGCACUUCGGGAUAAGCAUGGGAAACUGGGUCUCAUACCGGAUAGGACCACUACUUGGAUGUUGUGGUGGAAAGUUUUUUCGGUGUGGGAUGAGCUCGCGGCCUAUCAGCUUGUUGGUGGGGUAAUGGCCUACCAAGGCGUCGACAGGUAGCCGGCCUGUGAGGGUGUACGGCGACAUUGAGACUUAGAGACGGCCCAGGCUCCGACGGGAGGCAGCAGUGGGGAAGAUUGCUCAAUGGGCGCAAGCCUGAGGCAGCGACGCCGCGUGGUGGAUGACGGCCUUCGGGUUGUAGACACGUUUCGCUAGAGUCGAGGCGGUUUGUGACGGUACCUGGAGAAGAAGCACCGGCUAACUACGUG